GAUUGUGGUUCAGCGGUAGAGCGCUCGACUAGCAUGUGCGAGGCCCUGGGUUUGAUCCUCAGCACG
RNAcentral lists this transfer RNA (66 nucleotides) under Marmota monax (woodchuck). RNAcentral describes it as "tRNA.Ala". Lineage: Eukaryota; Metazoa; Chordata; Mammalia; Rodentia; Sciuridae. The record is from RNAcentral.